GACGAACGCUGGCGGCGUGCCUAGUACAUGCAAGUCGAACGAAGCUUUUUUAACUGGUGCUUGCACCGACUUAAACAACUGAGUGGCGAACGGGUGAGUAACACGUGGGUAACCUGCCCCAAAGCGGGGGAUAACAUUUGGAAACAGAUGCUAAUACCGCAUAACCACAGAAACCACAUGGUUUCUGUGUCAAAGAUGGUUUCGGCUAUCACUUUGGGAUGGACCCGCGGCGUAUUAGCUAGUUGGUAAGGUAACGGCUUACCAAGGCAAUGGAACGUAGCCGAACUGAGAGGUUGAUCGGCCACAUUGGGACUGGGACACGGCCCAAACUCCUACGGGAGGCAGCAGUGGGGAAUCGUCCACAAUGGACGAAAGGCUGAUGGAGCAACGCCGCGUGAGUGAAGAAGGUUUUCGGAUCGUAAAACUCUGUUGUCAGAGAAGAACGUGUGCGAGAGUAACUGUUCGUGCAGUGGCGGUAUCUGGCCAGAAAGCCACGGCUAACUACGUGCCAGCAGCCGCCGUAA
Molecule: ribosomal RNA, 524 nt
Filed under: uncultured bacterium
Lineage: Bacteria
Description: partial 16S ribosomal RNA
Rfam family: Bacterial small subunit ribosomal RNA
Source: RNAcentral